GUCUACACCGGGAUGUUCAUAACCCUUUGUUGUCCGACUCUGUUGCCUCCGGGGCGACCCUGCCUUCGGGCGGGGGCUCCGGGUGGACACUUCAAACUCUUGCGUAACUUUGCAGUCUGAGUAAACUUAAUUAAUAAAUUAAAACUUUUAACAACGGAUCUCUUGGUUCUGGCAUCGAUGAAGAACGCAGCGAAAUGCGAUAAGUAAUGUGAAUUGCAGAAUUCAGUGAAUCAUCGAAUCUUUGAACGCACAUUGCGCCCCCUGGUAUUCCGGGGGGCAUGCCUGUUCGAGCGUCAUUUCACCACUCAAGCCUCGCUUGGUAUUGGGCAACGCGGUCCGCCGCGUGCCUCAAAUCGACCGGCUGGGUCUUCUGUCCCCUAAGCGUUGUGGAAACUAUUCGCUAAAGGGUGUUCGGGAGGCUACGCCGUAAAACAACCCCAUUUCUAAGGUUGACCUCGGAUCAGGUAGGGAUACCCGCUGAACUUAAGCAUAUCAAUAAGCGGAGGA
This 507-nucleotide ribosomal RNA is filed under the name Cladosporium uredinicola. RNAcentral's name for it is "eukaryotic LSU rRNA". The stretch from base 143 to 296 matches the Rfam family "5.8S ribosomal RNA". Lineage: Eukaryota; Fungi; Ascomycota; Dothideomycetes; Cladosporiales; Cladosporiaceae. The record is from RNAcentral.